Molecule: long non-coding RNA, 348 nt
Organism: Pantherophis guttatus
Lineage: Eukaryota; Metazoa; Chordata; Lepidosauria; Squamata; Colubridae
Source: RefSeq, a predicted model, not a curated record
UGCAGAGAGAGAUACCUGUUUCCCUCUGCUGCUCGCAGCCCUUUCUGGAUAAGACUUAGAGGAAAGCGCAGCUCAUGGCUGCUAAAUUUCGCUGUGCUGCGCCAAAUGCUUUCCCAGGGCCCCGAGGGAUGCCCUCCCGGAGUGCCGCUGUCGCCAUUCUGGAGCUCUCCUUCCGCCGCCACUACUGCCGCCACUCUGGAACUCACCAUCAGGGAAUUCAUGGAUUCUGGAAACUAUCCACCUUCAAGAUCACCAUCCUCCUGUUCUACAGUUUCAGAGUUAUCCAUCCAGGAUAGUGCUUCAUUAGCAUCAUCAUCAUCAGACACCCACAGCCACAUAUCACUAUCA